This 253-nucleotide ribosomal RNA is filed under the name uncultured bacterium. RNAcentral describes it as "partial 16S ribosomal RNA". It matches the Rfam family "Bacterial small subunit ribosomal RNA", at positions 524 to 776 of the family's 1533-position model. The record is from RNAcentral.
UACGUAGGGUGCGAGCGUUAAUCGGAAUUACUGGGCGUAAAGCGUGCGCAGGCGGUUUUGUAAGUCAGAUGUGAAAUCCCCGGGCUCAACCUGGGAAUGGCAUUUGGGACUGCAAGGCUCGAGUGCGGCAGAGGAGACUGGAAUUCCUGGUGUAGCAGUGAAAUGCGUAGAUAUCAGGAGGAAUACCGAUGGCGAAGGCAGGUCUCUGGGCUGACACUGACGCUCAUGCACGAAAGCGUGGGGAGCAAACAGG